This 312-nucleotide long non-coding RNA is filed under the name Mus spicilegus (steppe mouse). RNAcentral describes it as "lncRNA (ENSMSIG00000015496.1)". The record is from RNAcentral. Lineage: Eukaryota; Metazoa; Chordata; Mammalia; Rodentia; Muridae.
UUUUAUUCCACUCAGCUAGCUCAUUUUUUCUCCCUCCUUAGAAUCUGACAGGCCAAGGAGAAUUCUGAUUUCAAAGGGAUGCUUAGAAUCUGUACUGAUGCCAUCUAGAAAUGUAAAUGCUCAGUGUCACACUGCUAAGGGAGAAAGGGUUCCAUUGAUAUUGUUGACAUGGGAGGCUGUUACAGUGUGAGGCUGCUACUUGGAGCUUCAUGAAAGUGACAAGGCACAUAAUUCUUCUCGCUCUGUCUCCAAGUGCAUUCUUUAGAGAAGAAAGGUCAAAUCCAGUGAAUUACACAGCACAGGAAAUGAAAG